AACGCUGGCGGCAGGCUCACACAUGCAAGUCAAACGGUAACAGGAAGCAGCUUGCUGCUUCGCUGACGAGUGGCGUACCGGUGAGUAAUGUCUGGGAAGCUGCCUGAUGGAGGGGGAUAACUACUGGAAACGGUAGCUAAUACCGCAUAAUGUCGCAAGACCAAAGAGGGGGACCUUCGGGCCUCUUGCCAUCGGAUGUGCCCAGAUGGGAUUAGCUAGUAGGUGGGGUAACGGCUCACCUAGGCGACGAUCCCUAGCUGGUCUGAGAGGAAGACCAGCCACACUGGGACUGAGACACGGCCCAGACUCCUACGGGAGGCAGCAGUGGG
This 329-nucleotide ribosomal RNA is filed under the name uncultured bacterium. RNAcentral's name for it is "bacterial SSU rRNA". It matches the Rfam family "Bacterial small subunit ribosomal RNA", at positions 32 to 358 of the family's 1533-position model. The record is from RNAcentral.